UCCUCCAAAAAGGAGGAGGUGGUGGUGGGCCUAGGUAGGUAGGUAGGUAUGUAAAGUCCUCCAAAUUGGAGGAGGUGGUGGUGGGCCUAGGUAGGUAGGUAGGUAGGUAGGUAAAGUCCUCCAAAUUGGAGGAGGUGGUGGUGGGCCUAGGUAGGUAGGUAGAGUCCUCCAAAUAGGAGGAGGUGGUGGUGGGCCUAGGUAGGUAGGUAGGUAAAGUCCUCCAAAUCGGAGGAGGUGGUGGUGGGCCAAGGUAGGUAGGUAGAGUCCUCCAAAUAGGAGGCGAUGGUGGUGGGCCUAGGUAGGUAGAUAGUUAAAAGUCCUCCAUAUAGGAGGGGGUGGUGGUGGGCCUAGGUAGGUAGGUUGUUAGGUAGGUAGAGUCCUCCAGAUAGGAGGAGGAGGUG
This is a non-coding RNA of Danio rerio (zebrafish), 401 nucleotides long. The record is from RefSeq and is a predicted model, not a curated record. Lineage: Eukaryota; Metazoa; Chordata; Actinopteri; Cypriniformes; Danionidae.